RNAcentral lists this long non-coding RNA (432 nucleotides) under Elaeis guineensis (African oil palm). RNAcentral describes it as "long non-coding RNA (EGUI_LNC078296)". The record is from RNAcentral. Lineage: Eukaryota; Viridiplantae; Streptophyta; Magnoliopsida; Arecales; Arecaceae.
GGUGGUUGAUCUCACAACCACUUAUGUGGUUACACUAAUACAAAGAUAUAGGUGCUCAUUAGAGAAUAAGUUCAUUAAAUUGACCUACGAGAGAAUAUCAGAUGGAGUUUUAUUUAUACGUCAACUAAGGUUUCUCUAGUGGAAGUUGUGUAAGUGAUCUUUUGAUCUGAAGUCAUCAUGGUACCUUAUGUACAUGGAUCCAUAUUUUGGUUCGCUACCUAACUUGGUUCUUUGAUCCUUGUGUGGAGUGUUUUGGAUAUGGUGAAGUAUGCAUAGAGGUUGUAUGUGAUCAAUAAGGGAUCAGUCACUUCUAAUAAGGGGAGCGAACAUCUUAUGUGAUCUCAUAGGAUGAUGAUUCGAAAGUCUUUGGCUAAAGUAGGAUGAUAAUUAGAAAAGAGUUUCUAAUGUAUCAUCAAUUGAAUCAUCACCUUC